RNAcentral lists this unclassified non-coding RNA (678 nucleotides) under Hevea brasiliensis (rubber tree). The record is from RNAcentral. Lineage: Eukaryota; Viridiplantae; Streptophyta; Magnoliopsida; Malpighiales; Euphorbiaceae.
ACCACCUAAAACCCCAAAAUUUUCUUCUGUUCGCACUCCAUUGUUAGCACUUAGCAGCCAGCAGCCAUGAAGAAGCUUACUCUUUCUCCAGCUCGUAGCUUUUGCCUGUCCAAAUCCUCCUCUCUACUCCGCUCCUCUGCAUUGAGAUGGCUUUCUUCUGAUUCAAAAUCAAUUCCAGAUCAAUCAUCUCAAUCUGUGCCUAUCCAGCCAGUAUCUUACGCUGUAAAGCCUAAAGACGAGGCACCUUCAAAUGAAAACGAAACCCCUUCUCAACAACAGGUGGCUUCCCAAUCACCAGCAUCACAAGAAGAGCAACAACAACAAUUUCCUAGAAGAACCCAAGAAUCACCAUAUCAAGAAUCCCGGAUGCGUUGGACUCGGGAGGACAUCCGAUACGUCAAAGAUGCGCCUUCAAUAUCCCCUGUAUCCUAUCCAGCACGCGUUGCUCCACUACCUGAGGAUAGGGUUGACGCUGAAGGUGGAGGAGGAAAAGCUGCGGCGGAUGAUAUGGAUAGAGAGAGUAGGAGGAUUGAGGCGGAGAACCAGGGGCUUAGGAGGAUAUUUAGGGUUGCGGGAGAGGAGGAGAAAGUGGUAGUGCCUUUCCCUAGAUUGAUCCUGCCAGAGAAGAAGGAAAAGAGACCACUUUUUGAUUUGAUGGAUGCUAUUAGACAAGUCAAG